RNAcentral lists this ribosomal RNA (429 nucleotides) under Chloroflexota bacterium. Its description in RNAcentral is "Chloroflexi bacterium partial 16S ribosomal RNA". It matches the Rfam family "Bacterial small subunit ribosomal RNA", at positions 355 to 776 of the family's 1533-position model. The record is from RNAcentral. Lineage: Bacteria; Bacillati; Chloroflexota.
UGGGGAAUAUUGCACAAUGGGCGCAAGCCUGAUGCAGCCAUGCCGCGUGUGUGAAGAAGGCCUUCGGGUUGUAAAGCACUUUCAGCGGGGAGGAAGGCGUUAAGGUUAAUAACCUUGGCGAUUGACGUUACCCGCAGAAGAAGCACCGGCUAACUCCGUGCCAGCAGCCGCGGUAAUACGGAGGGUGCAAGCGUUAAUCGGAAUUACUGGGCGUAAAGCGCACGCAGGCGGUCUGUCAAGUCGGAUGCGAAAUCCCCGGGCUCAACCUGGGAACUGCAUUCGAAACUGGCAGGCUAGAGUCUUGUAGAGGGGGGUAGAAUUCCAGGUGUAGCGGUGAAAUGCGUAGAGAUCUGGAGGAAUACCGGUGGCGAAGGCGGCCCCCUGGACAAAGACUGACGCUCAGGUGCGAAAGCGUGGGGAGCAAACAGG